UAAUUUACAAUUCAUAUAUGCAAUUCAAUUCCCUAGAAUUUGUUUUCAGUUUAAUUCAAUUCUAUCUUUACAAUCAAAUGGAUCCUAAUAUGAUGACGGAGAAACCCAAACUGGGUAAAAACUCCGAGACAAGCCAAUUACCUCAAAUAUAGACAAUUACUGUUACAAUUAGAUGUUGUCUAGACUUUCCGAUCUACUUUCUAUAAUCUCCAAGAUACUCUUGUUUCCUUCAGCUACUCCAUCUUGUAUUGUCUCUUCCAAUGGAAUUUCAAGAAUCACCAAUUCUUGUGCUUUUCUUGUUCUUAGAGUCCACCUCUUCCAAUGCCCAACUGAGAUGGUACCUUCCUUAAAGUGUUAAGGAAAUGGGUGUUUUGAAUUUUGGAUCUUUGAUGUUUUCUCAAAAGAUGGUGUAUGAAAUCAAGAAUCGAAGGAUUGAAUCACAAAUGAUGAAUGUGUUCUUGAAUUUUCAAAGAAUAAUAUGGAAAAGAAACACAAUGAAACAACCACAUGAUUUUCUUGUGAGGGCUUGGGUAUCUAUAGUUGAAAGGGUUUACGUAGUUUGGGCAGAAUAAAACACUUUAAAAAAAUGCAAAUUAGGUUUUCUUGGAAUGCACUGUUGCUCGAGCGACAAGCGAGCAACGUUGUUUCGCUAGAGCGAAGUCCGGGCGACAGGCAAGCAACAAUUAUUCUGUUUUUGUCGCUUGAGCAAUGUCUUGACGAGCAGCUAGUGAAAUUGCGGCGUCUCCUCUUUCCUUAUUCUGGACUCAAACCUUAACAUACCUAACUCAUCUAUACAAAAUUGCACCUAACUCCUUGAUUUUUACACAUGUUCAAUUUAGUUCUUUUUGUUCACAAAAUCGUCAAUUACAUAAAACCUAACAUAGGUAUUGCAAAAUAAAGCUUACUUGUUGAUCCACUCGUGAAUAUUAAGAAAUUGGCUAAAAGGAAAUUGUAAACAAUUAAUUAAAGAGGUGAUAAUUUUGUCAAUAAAAUUCUGAAAUCAUGAAAAUUAGCUAGAAAAAAACUCGUAACGUAAUAUAACAAUUUAUUCACCUUAUAACGACGAAUUGUAUCGUCAAUAACGAAGGCUCAACUGCUUUGCCCAGAGUUUUGCUGAGAAGAUCGGUUCACUUGGAAAAAUUAGAGAUAAUCCUACAAAUUUUACUCUGUACGAACUGAGCACUUUAUAGGAUACUAGAAAAGAAUUUACUUUAAGCUUUAGAACAAUAUGUGCUCAACUUUUAUAUACAUUAUCAAAUAAGGAGGGUAGUCGGUAGUCCCCAUAGCAAAUAUAGAAGACUUUAUUGUAAAGGGAUAAAUCUCACAUCGAACAGAUAUGAAAAUAUUAAUUAACAUAUAAGGAUUUAGGCUAAAGUUUACCUCUCUAGAUGGAACCUCAAGCUCAUUGAACUUAAACGAGCAAUUUGAUCCAACCAAGUUUCAAACGAAUACAUUAUUUUCAAGAUUAGUCUGCUCAAAAGAGUACCAUCUUGCGCCCACUUCAAAUAAAUAUAAAAAUAUUAAUCAGCUUAUAAGAAUUUAGGCUACUCCUUUUAAUAAAAUUGAUAUUUUAAGAUGAAAAAUCCAAGUUUUAAUAGAGCUUAAGAAGUUUUCAAAAAGUGCAUCAUAUAGUCUCUGUUAGAACUAAGAAUGGAAUAACUUUCUAAGAAUUAUGAGAAAAAAUGAUUUUUAUUGGUUAUGUUUAACAGAGUUCUUGAAUCAGCAGUCAAAUCAAUGGUGUUUCUCUCCUUGGCUCGAGUUGAGAUCUGCUGUUCAAUUUUUGUUGUUAAUUCAAUUAAUUAUUAACACGUCAUUUUAAAUUAAUAUAUCAUCAAUUGGUACGUUAGUAGUGAAUUUGAAAUGUCAUGUUAAUUUAAAAAUGACUUGUCAAUAAUUAAUUGGAUAGACAACAAAUUGGACAGACAAAUCUCAACUUGGUCCGAAUUGGUCCACUACCAAAACUGCUAAAAAAUGAUGAAGAUUAAGUAAAAUCACUAGUAUUAUUUUCUUUGAUGUUCGCGAUCUUGGAAGAUCUAAAGUCCUUUA
RNAcentral lists this long non-coding RNA (2046 nucleotides) under Olea europaea subsp. europaea. Lineage: Eukaryota; Viridiplantae; Streptophyta; Magnoliopsida; Lamiales; Oleaceae. The record is from RNAcentral.